Molecule: small nuclear RNA, 135 nt
Organism: Suncus etruscus (white-toothed pygmy shrew)
Lineage: Eukaryota; Metazoa; Chordata; Mammalia; Eulipotyphla; Soricidae
Product: U4 spliceosomal RNA
Exons: 1
Source: RefSeq, a predicted model, not a curated record
AGCUUUGCAUAGUGGUAGUAUUGUAGCCAAUGAAGUUUAUAUAAAGCGCAAUUACUGCUAAUUGAAAACUUUUCCCAUUCCCCACCAUGAUGAUUUAAAUAUAGUCAGCAUUGACAAUUUCUUUUUUUUCGGGGG